AGCCCAAACCAACAAGCUUGCUUGUUGGGGUUGUAGGACACUCUAUACGGAGUUACAAAAGAACAUGUUAGACGAAUCAUCUGGAAAGAUGAAUCAAAGAAGGUAAUAAUCCUGUAGUCGAAAACAUAUUCUCUCUUGAGUGGAUCCUGAGUACGACGGAGCACGUGAAAUUCCGUCGGAAUCUGGGAGGACCAUCUCCUAAGGCUAAAUACUCUCUAGUGACCGAUAGUGAACCAGUACCGUGAGGGAAAGGUGAAAAGUACCCCGGAAGGGGAGUGAAAGAGAACUUGAAACCGUGUGCUUACAAGUAGUCAGAGCCCGUUAAUGGGUGAUGGCGUGCCUUUUGUAGAAUGAACCGGCGAGUUACGAUCUGAUGCAAGGUUAAGCAGCAAAUGUGGAGCCGCAGCGAAAGCGAGUCUGAAUAGGGCGUUGAGUAUUUGGUCGUAGACCCGAAACCAGGUGAUCUACCCUUGGUCAGGUUGAAGUUCAGGUAACACUGAAUGGAGGACCGAACCGACUUACGUUGAAAAGUGAGCGGAUGAACUGAGGGUAGCGGAGAAAUUCCAAUCGAACUUGGAGAUAGCUGGUUCUCUCCGAAAUAGCUUUAGGGCUAGCCUCAAGUGAUGAUUAUUGGAGGUAGAGCACUGUUUGGACGAGGGGCCCCUCUCGGGUUACCGAAUUCAGACAAACUCCGAAUGCCAAUUAAUUUAACUUGGGAGUCAGAACAUGGGUGAUAAGGUCCGUGUUCGAAAGGGAAACAGCCCAGACCACCAGCUAAGGUCCCAAAAUAUAUGUUAAGUGGAAAAGGAUGUGGCGUUGCCCAGACAACUAGGAUGUUGGCUUAGAAGCAGCCAUCAUUUAAAGAGUGCGUAAUAGCUCACUAGUCGAGUGACACUGCGCCGAAAAUGUACCGGGGCUAAACAUAUUACCGAAGCUGUGGAUUGUCCUUUGGACAAUGGUAGGAGAGCGUUCUAAGGGCGUCGAAGCAUGAUCGCAAGGACAUGUGGAGCGCUUAGAAGUGAGAAUGCCGGUGUGAGUAGCGAAAGACGGGUGAGAAUCCCGUCCACCGAUUGACUAAGGUUUCCAGAGGAAGGCUCGUCCGCUCUGGGUUAGUCGGGUCCUAAGCUGAGGCCGACAGGCGUAGGCGAUGGAUAACAGGUUGAUAUUCCUGUACCACCUAGUAUCGUUUUAAUCGAUGGGGGGACGCAGUAGGAUAGGCGAAGCGUGCUGUUGGAGUGCACGUCCAAGCAGUAAGGCUGAGUGUUAGGCAAAUCCGGCACUCAUAAGGCUGAGCUGUGAUGGGGAGAGGAAAUUGUUUCCUCGAGUCGUUGAUUUCACACUGCCGAGAAAAGCCUCUAGAUAGAUAACAGGUGCCCGUACCGCAAACCGACACAGGUAGUCAAGAUGAGAAUUCUAAGGUGAGCGAGCGAACUCUCGUUAAGGAACUCGGCAAAAUGACCCCGUAACUUCGGGAGAAGGGGUGCUCUUUAGGGUUCACGCCCAGAAGAGCCGCAGUGAAUAGGCCCAAGCGACUGUUUAUCAAAAACACAGGUCUCUGCUAAACCGUAAGGUGAUGUAUAGGGGCUGACGCCUGCCCGGUGCUGGAAGGUUAAGAGGAGUGGUUAGCUUCUGCGAAGCUACGAAUCGAAGCCCC
Molecule: ribosomal RNA, 1654 nt
Filed under: Salmonella enterica subsp. enterica serovar Enteritidis
Lineage: Bacteria; Pseudomonadati; Pseudomonadota; Gammaproteobacteria; Enterobacterales; Enterobacteriaceae
Description: partial 23S ribosomal RNA
Rfam family: Bacterial large subunit ribosomal RNA
Source: RNAcentral